This 484-nucleotide long non-coding RNA is filed under the name Cricetulus griseus (Chinese hamster). Its description in RNAcentral is "lncRNA (ENSCGRG00015039330.1)". The record is from RNAcentral. Lineage: Eukaryota; Metazoa; Chordata; Mammalia; Rodentia; Cricetidae.
AGAGGUUAUAAUCUCAACCUUACAACUUGGAGCACUCUUUAGCUCAACUCUGAUCUCUUCUCACAUAUGUAAUGUGAGCUGGGCUGGGUCAGGCACUCACUCCCCGGGACAAGCCUUCCUGCAUGCCCACCUUUUCUGUCAAGGUUGGAAAAGUAGACAAGUGUGCCAGAGCAUCUUCAGGUGUCCCCUGCUGCCUCCUUCAUGCUUACCAUGCCCAGGGACUGAGGGCUGUGUGUGUUGCUGAUCUUUUGAGACAUCCUGUUGGGAAAGAGGCCCCUACAAAGAGACUAAGUGUGAACAAGCAGCCUCAGACAUUCACUGCCAUGAACAGGAGCUGUUCCUGCUACUGUAAACAACUGCCAUGCCUUCCCCAGCUUGAAGCUGUGAGCCCCAGGACACCUUCCCCCCUUAAAUCACUUCAACUGGAGAAAAAAGUACCUAAGACAUGCUCUCACCAUGGAACGCUGUCCCUCCCUGUGUGACU